AAGAGAAGAGAAGAGAAGAGAAGACUCUUGUGUUUGUAGAUCUAAACGGGGAGAAGCAGUCUUCUUAGUCUUAGUGAAUCGUCUGUCCAGAGAUGGCUGGAUCUGGUAUCGCUCUCAGGCUGCAUGAAUUCAGAGAGCCUCAGGACUGCAAAGACAUCACCACAACAACAGUUUUAACAAAAAGAACAUCACGUUUGGGAAGAGAUGUACAAGGGCUGUAUCCUGGUCAGCUGGCUAGAGUCCACAACACACUCUCUAAGGAUUAUGG
Molecule: long non-coding RNA, 268 nt
Organism: Cyprinodon variegatus (sheepshead minnow)
Lineage: Eukaryota; Metazoa; Chordata; Actinopteri; Cyprinodontiformes; Cyprinodontidae
Exons: 3
Source: RefSeq, a predicted model, not a curated record